GAUGAACGCUGGCGGCGUGCCUAAUACAUGCAAGUCGAGCGAACAGAUCAGGAGUUUGCUCCCCUGACUUUAUCGGCGGACGGGUGAUUAACACGUGGUUAACCUACCUAUAAGACUGGGAUACCUUUGGGAAACCGGAGCUAUUACCGGAUAAUUUAUUGACCCGCAUGGUUCACUAGUUAAAGACGGUUUUGCUUUCCCUUAUAGAUGAAUCCGGGCCGCAUUAGUAAGUGGGUAAGGUAACGGCUUACCAAGGCAGCGAUGCGUAGCCGACCUGAGCGGGUGAUCGGCCACACGGGAAGUGAGACAGGGUCGAGACUCCGACGGGAGGACGCAGUAGGGAAUCUUACGCGAUGGGCGAAAGCCUGACGGAGCAACGCCGCGUGAGUGAUGAAGGUCUUCGGAUCGUAAAACUAUGUUAUUAGGGAAGAAGAAAUGUGUAAGUAACUAUGCACGUCUUGACGGUACCUAAUCAGAAAGCCACGGCUAACUACGUG
Molecule: ribosomal RNA, 497 nt
Filed under: uncultured bacterium
Lineage: Bacteria
Description: partial 16S ribosomal RNA
Rfam family: Bacterial small subunit ribosomal RNA
Source: RNAcentral